This is a long non-coding RNA of Chinchilla lanigera (long-tailed chinchilla), 201 nucleotides long. RefSeq lists it as uncharacterized. The record is from RefSeq and is a predicted model, not a curated record. The transcript is spliced from 2 exons. Lineage: Eukaryota; Metazoa; Chordata; Mammalia; Rodentia; Chinchillidae.
UGAGCGACGGCAGCGCUGGCCAAUCGCGAGGGGCGUGCUGGAGCUGUUCCGCCCCACUUCCGUGACGUAAGCACGGCAGACUCUUCCCAGAGCAACCUGUGGUAUCACUCAUCUUACAGACUUGUAGGAAAUGAGGCUCAGGAACCUGGCUCCCCGAAUGCCGUGACUAUCAUUAGCAAUAAAUUGGCCUUCGUUCUCUGA